This 497-nucleotide ribosomal RNA is filed under the name uncultured bacterium. RNAcentral describes it as "partial 16S ribosomal RNA". It matches the Rfam family "Bacterial small subunit ribosomal RNA", at positions 28 to 507 of the family's 1533-position model. The record is from RNAcentral.
GACGAACGCUGGCGGCGUGCCUAAUACAUGCAAGUUGAGCGAUGAAGCUUGGUGCUUGCACCAAUUUGAAGAGCAGCGAACGGGUGAGUAACGCGUGGGGAAUCUGCCUUUGAGCGGGGGACAACAUUUGGAAACGAAUGCUAAUACCGCAUAACAACUUUAAACAUAAGUUUUAAGUUUGAAAGAUGCAAUUGCAUCACUCAAAGAUGAUCCCGCGUUGUAUUAGCUAGUUGGUGAGGUAAAGGCUCACCAAGGCGAUGAUACAUAGCCGACCUGAGAGGGUGAUCGGCCACAUUGGGACUGAGACACGGCCCAAACUCCUACGGGAGGCAGCAGUAGGGAAUCUUCGGCAAUGGACGAAAGUCUGGCCGAGCAACGCCGCGUGAGUGAAGAAGGUUUUCGGAUCGUAAGACUCUGUUGGUAGAGAAGAACGUUGGUGAGAGUGGAAAGCUCAUCAAGUGACGGUAACUACCCAGAAAGGGACGGCUAACUACGUG